GGGCCCAUAGUCUAGCUGGCUAUGACGCCGCCCUUACAAGGCGGAGGUCGCCGGUUCGAAUCCGGCUGGGCCCA
RNAcentral lists this transfer RNA (74 nucleotides) under Methanocaldococcus infernus ME. Its description in RNAcentral is "tRNA-Val (TAC) (tRNA-Val-TAC-1-1)". It matches the Rfam family "tRNA". Rfam says of the family: Transfer RNA (tRNA) molecules are approximately 80 nucleotides in length. Their secondary structure includes four short double-helical elements and three loops (D, anti-codon, and T loops). The record is from RNAcentral. Lineage: Archaea; Methanobacteriati; Methanobacteriota; Methanococci; Methanococcales; Methanocaldococcaceae.